GAAAUGUAAAGCAAUUAUUGGAGCUGCUAACUCUCAAUCAUAGCGGUUAAAAUCCGUUAACAUUUCU
RNAcentral lists this transfer RNA (67 nucleotides) under Mekongiella kingdoni. RNAcentral describes it as "tRNA-Ser". The record is from RNAcentral. RNAcentral also lists the same sequence under 1 other name. Lineage: Eukaryota; Metazoa; Arthropoda; Insecta; Orthoptera; Pyrgomorphidae.